Molecule: unclassified non-coding RNA, 300 nt
Filed under: Phylloporus sp.
Lineage: Eukaryota; Fungi; Basidiomycota; Agaricomycetes; Boletales; Boletaceae
Description: partial contains small subunit ribosomal RNA and internal transcribed spacer 1
Rfam family: Eukaryotic small subunit ribosomal RNA (bases 1-46)
Source: RNAcentral
AAGUCGUAACAAGGUUUCCGUAGGUGAACCUGCGGAAGGACCAUUUCUGAAUGAUUAAAAAAAGUGGGGUAUUGUGCUAUAAAAAUGGUUUACUAUUGAAAAUGGUUUGGGUUGUUUUUUGGGAAAAAGAGUGAUUUGGAUGGAGGAAAUGGAAGAAAUGUUACUAUUUUGACCCAUUUCUGAGAUUUAGAUCUUCUUUUGAAAGAAGAGCCAAUUUGGGCCAUUUUCAAAAAGUUGAUAUAACUACUUGUAUGAAAUUGAAAAAUCCCUGAAUUUAUAAAUGAGACACAACUGUCAACG